This 874-nucleotide long non-coding RNA is filed under the name Triticum aestivum (bread wheat). Its description in RNAcentral is "long non-coding RNA (TAES_LNC016588)". Lineage: Eukaryota; Viridiplantae; Streptophyta; Magnoliopsida; Poales; Poaceae. The record is from RNAcentral.
AACUGCCUUUCUCCGCCCCCGCCUAUUCCUCAACAACCUCAGAUGGCGCCAAUUCUGCUUUUUGCGUCUCAACUCACGCCCUUUUCACUGCCUAUAAAAGACAGACUUUGUUUCCCGCAUGUUAUACACCCAGAUCGCAAAGGGCUGGCUGUGAUCCCCGUGACAGGCACUGGAUGGGAGACGUUGACCUUGGAUCUGAAGUUGGUCAUCUUCAAUAAGGCUCCACAUCUCCUUCAGGCUUUCCGUGCAUCGUCUUCCCACCUUCAAUCAGUCUUCCCAUCUUCAAUCAGGUUCCAUGGCUUCACCAUCCUACACAGCAGUACGAAUUUGUGUUUGUAAAUAUUUCAUGGUACUGUUGAUUGAAUUAAUCUAUUUGGUAGUGAACCCUAUUUUGCAUAAAACCUCUGAUAAUUUCAUAUGGGCAAUUCCUAGGACAUAGUAGAUCCAACAACCUAGUAAUCUGUUAAUCUAAAUGAUAACACGCACUGUUGAAGGAAAAAUUAGAGGCAACUCUGAUUAGGGAGUACCGUAAAUAUGAACAUGUGGCACAUAAGAGAAUCAGAUUGCACUAUGAAUGCCUAUAUACAUACUAAAAUGAUCUAACACCGAACCACAAUUAGAUUAUCGAUGACUAUAUAUAUCACGUGCAGUAGUUAAUUUUUCAUGACAAGGAUGCAGUUUAAAGCACACUGUAAGGAUAAUUUUCCAUAAGUAUCAAUCAUAUUUAUCCAGAAUAUAUAGUGUGCAGUAAGAGCUAAGCAGUAAGCAGAUGAAGAUUAGAAUACCUUGUGAUGUCAUCUGAUGUUGAUAGCAGUACGUGGGGCAAGCGAGACCAGAUUUAAUAGAAAAUUAAAGAUCUUGGCAGCAACCUAGG